GCUUUCGUGGUAUAGUGGUCAGCACACUGGCUGCAUAUUCCACAGAUCCGUGGUUCGAGUCCCGGUGAAAGCA
Molecule: transfer RNA, 73 nt
Filed under: Stegodyphus mimosarum
Lineage: Eukaryota; Metazoa; Arthropoda; Arachnida; Araneae; Eresidae
Rfam family: tRNA
About the family: Transfer RNA (tRNA) molecules are approximately 80 nucleotides in length.
Source: Rfam by way of RNAcentral